AGAAUCUAUCGCAAACUUCAAUAUUGUAACUUAGACUUUAUUCCUUACCCCCACACAAAAUAAAGGCCACACAGUCACUGCACAAAAUGUCUAGGGGGGAGACUUACCUGCAGGAAAUCUGAUCUAAGGAGGUUAGAACAACACAGAAUAUGAACACUUUCAUUUGAAAGCUCACUCAGCAUUCUGUCUAAAAGACCCCUAUCCACAUCCUGAGGAUCAACGUAUUUACAUUCCUUUAACCUUAACUUUGCAAUGGAGCAAGCAGAAGGUUCCAAACACAGAAAUAC
This is a non-coding RNA of Pelobates cultripes (western spadefoot toad), 287 nucleotides long. The record is from the annotation of a GenBank genome assembly. NCBI's taxonomy places the organism in Eukaryota, Metazoa, Chordata, Amphibia, Anura, Pelobatidae.